Schistosoma mansoni is the source of this 45-nucleotide non-coding RNA. The record is from Rfam. Lineage: Eukaryota; Metazoa; Platyhelminthes; Trematoda; Strigeidida; Schistosomatidae.
AUCCAGCUGACGAUUCCCAAAUACAACGAAACGUGAGUCCUGGAU